This is a long non-coding RNA of Gasterosteus aculeatus aculeatus (three-spined stickleback), 2067 nucleotides long. The record is from Ensembl. Lineage: Eukaryota; Metazoa; Chordata; Actinopteri; Perciformes; Gasterosteidae.
AAGUAUUCAGGCUCAAUGCUGUGGCCAAACGGAUCUAAAAACAUCGCAGGCUCUAAUAGAUGUAUGUUUCUGUGGUUUGGUUGUGUGAUUCACCGGAAAUGCUAUCUGUGGUAUUCUGAGAAGCAGUUCGGCAAAAUGAUACGUGAGUACAUCAAAGUUCACUUAGACAAGCAUCUUCUUUGGAGUCGGUCUUAUAGGAUUGUUCUUCAUCAUGGCUGGACGCCUGCUGUUUGUCACCCUCAUGUAUUCCUGUGCCAAUACUAAAACACAAGCUCGUCCUCAACUCAUAAUGAAUUCAGCGGUGAUCUCAGAGACGGAAACAGUCACAUUGGACUGUCGAGCUCCAUCAUAUCCUACUGUCCACCAGUGUUAUUUCACCAUUAUCGGAGCAAAACAUGCCAAAGGCUUCACUUGUGUGCAGACACUGACAGGAACUGAACUGUUGAGGAUGUCAGACCAGAGAGCACCUGCUGAGGUUAAAGUGGAUUGUUAUUACACUGUAAUGGUUGGAGACGUGAAUCAUCCAUCUGCACACAGUGUCACAUCAUCCAUCACAAUCCAAACAGGUCUUUGUGCUUCCAGGCCUGUAACUACUGUAAAGCAAACAUCAGCAGGUCUCAGUGCUUCCAGGCCUGUAACUCGUAUAAAGCAAACACCAGCAGAUCAAACCUUUGGACCAAGAAACUCUGGUAGUUUUAGUUCUCCUCCCCUCACAACAGACAAACCAACAUCAGAUGUUGUCGAGUCGAGCACGACGCAGACUAAGCCGGCAUCUACUGUGACCACAGCAGGUCUCAGUGCUUCCACGCCUGUAACUCGUAUAAAGCAAACAUCAGCAGAUCAAACCUUUGGACCAAGAAACUCUGGUAGUUUUAGUUCUCCUCCCCUCACAACAGACAAACCAACAUCAGCAGAUCAAACCUUUGGACCAAGAAACUCUGGUAGUUUUAGUUCUCCUCCCCUCACAACAGACAAACCAACAUCAGAAAUGCAGAGAUGGAUGUUCAUGGUGAUUGCGAUUUGUUUGGGAGGUUUUUUCUCUAUUUCCUUACUGGGACUGGGCCUUCUGUGUAGAAAAAGAACAUUGGGUAAGAACUUGACUUAUGUGUCAGAAAUCAUUGAGUUAUUCUUUGCUCCCUGCUGCUUGAUGAACUGACAAAGAAUUUGAGCAGAGGGUCAAAAGAGGCACUAAAGACCCUUUUGAACACAACUUGCACAUAACUCUGUUUAGAGAACAGCAUCGUUUACCACAUUUGCAUUAAUGUCAUUGGAUGUUAGUAGUUCCUCACCUGUAAGUAUUCCAGAGAGAGCUGGACUUCCAAGCAAACUGCCUUAUGUAACAAUAUGCUUUUCUCUCUGUUGUGUUUUUCAGAAAGAUGUUCUUAUAAGAGGUCACAAGCUGAUGUCACUGGUAAUAUGCACACGUAGUCAGACAUCAUCACUGAAUUAUUUCUAUACACAUUUAGAAUGUGGUCUUUCUGUUCUGUCACAUUUGCAGGUUCUGUGAAACUGGAGGAGCAAACAUUUACAAAUGAGAAUCCCAUAUACCAUCUCUACUCCACUAUCCCCGACGAGCCGCCUGCAUCAGCCCAGGAGGAAGCGAUGUACAGCUACCUGCAGCCACAGUUGAAGCACUAGCCUUUUAUACUGUAGAGAAACUGUUUGAGCGGAAAGUCUUCUUUAAUCCAUUUAUUUUACAUUUUUUAAACAUAAUAUUCUUUGCAAAAAUGCAAUGCCAAUUGUAACUAAUGAACAACAGGUCUCAGCUGGGUGGCACACUUGAUAUUUUGUUUUACAGGGAGAAAAGAUUAUUGAAUUUUUAUAUUGAAUUACAGAGAAUGGACGUUUACUUUUUGCAAUUGUUGAAUAUGUGCAAAGGUUUCAUUUUGUGAAGUUGGAGGCUGUUGAUUAGCACUACAUUGUAGACAGCUUCUUCUUUCUCUUUAAAGAUUCAAGUCAAAGAUGGGUCAGGAUUUUCUUCUGCAUGCUGUCAUAAAACAGCAUAAGCUUGCUUCUUUAGGACCUGUAACACGAUGCCUGCUCAAUAGAAUUAAACAAUUAAAAAAA